AAUGAACCCAGACUAUUUUCGAUAAAGAUUAACCUUGGAGGUGAGUUUACUGAUUAUCCAGGAAGGGAGUAUGUCAACGACACUUUACUGAUGAUGAUGAUGAUGAUGAAGAUGAU
Long non-coding RNA from Helianthus annuus (common sunflower), 116 nucleotides. RefSeq lists it as uncharacterized. The record is from RefSeq and is a predicted model, not a curated record. Lineage: Eukaryota; Viridiplantae; Streptophyta; Magnoliopsida; Asterales; Asteraceae. The transcript is spliced from 3 exons.